RNAcentral lists this transfer RNA (69 nucleotides) under Urocitellus parryii (Arctic ground squirrel). RNAcentral's name for it is "Spermophilus parryii (Arctic ground squirrel) tRNA". It matches the Rfam family "tRNA". From Rfam's summary of the family: Transfer RNA (tRNA) molecules are approximately 80 nucleotides in length. Their secondary structure includes four short double-helical elements and three loops (D, anti-codon, and T loops). The record is from Rfam by way of RNAcentral. Lineage: Eukaryota; Metazoa; Chordata; Mammalia; Rodentia; Sciuridae. RNAcentral also lists the same sequence under 1 other name.
GGGGCUGUGGCUCAGCGGUAGAGCACUCGCCUAGCACAUGUGAGGCCCUGGGUUCGAUCCUCAGCACCA